This 253-nucleotide ribosomal RNA is filed under the name uncultured bacterium. RNAcentral describes it as "partial 16S ribosomal RNA". It matches the Rfam family "Bacterial small subunit ribosomal RNA", at positions 524 to 776 of the family's 1533-position model. The record is from RNAcentral.
GACGAACCGUCCAAACGUUAUUCGGAAUCACUGGGCUUACAGAGUUCGUAGGCGGUCUGGCAAGUUGGGUGUGAAAUCCCUCGGCUCAACCGAGGAACUGCGCUUGAAACUACCAGACUCGAGGGAGAUAGAGGAAAGCGGAACUGAUGGUGGAGCGGUGAAAUGCGUUGAUAUCAUCAGGAACACCGGUGGCGAAGGCGGCAUCCUGGACCGACACUGACGCUGAGGAGCGAAAGCCAGGGGAGCAAACGGG